AACGAACGCUGGCGGCAUGCCUAACACAUGCAAGUCGAACGAGACCUUCGGGUCUAGUGGCGCACGGGUGCGUAACGCGUGGGAAUCUGCCCUUAGGUUCGGAAUAACUUCGGGAAACUGAAGCUAAUACCGGAUGAUGACGUAAGUCCAAAGAUUUAUCGCCUAAGGAUGAGCCCGCGUUGGAUUAGCUAGUUGGUGAGGUAAAGGCUCACCAAGGCGACGAUCCAUAGCUGGUCUGAGAGGAUGAUCAGCCACACUGGGACUGAGACACGGCCCAGACUCCUACGGGAGGCAGCAGUGGGGAAUAUUGGACACUGGGCGAAAGCCUGAUCCAGCAAUGCCGCGUGAGUGAUGAAGGCCUUAGGGUUGUAAAGCUCUUUACCCGGGAUGAUAAUGACAGUACCGGGAGAAUAAGCUCCGGCUAACUCCGUGCCAGCAGCCGCGGU
RNAcentral lists this ribosomal RNA (446 nucleotides) under uncultured bacterium. RNAcentral describes it as "bacterial SSU rRNA". It matches the Rfam family "Bacterial small subunit ribosomal RNA", at positions 29 to 521 of the family's 1533-position model. The record is from RNAcentral.